GCUGCUGUCAGUGGUGAUGGAUGGAUGUGUGUGCUGUAGAGUUGUGGCAUCUUAAUUGUUUACAUAACAUGCUAUUUUCUCUCUCAAAAGACUCUGUCUGGGAAGGAUGAAGGUGUGCAUAUUUUAUACUCCUCUUUUGCAUGCAUUUUAAAGGCAUUGAUAAAAGGAGUCCUGGAACUAGUACAGUCUGCUAUCUUCUGUCGGCCCUUGUUUCUUGGGCCCUGAGUGACAGCUCUUCAGAAGUGAUAAUUGGUGUACUGUAUCUUUAAAAGGUUAAAACCUCUUUCAAAAAAAAAAAAAAAGGCCUGGACUCAUAGUGGAAAAGACAAGCGGGGCUUUGGUUGGCUCUGGAUUCAGAAAACAGCUGCUGAUUAGAUUCUGCGUCUGCAGGCUGAAUUCAUUCCGUGUUUUUCAGCAGCAGGAAUUCGAGAGGGAUGCUUCUGUUUGGGUUUCUGAUCGUGAUUUAUAUUUAUUCAGAGGAAUAACAGAGGAUGGAUUUGUUCCCGGCCGGAGCAUGCUCACAACCAACAGGCUCUCCCAUGAUCCAACUGCCCAGUUUGGUGCUUUAAUGUACAUAUCUGUUCACCGUUCAUGUGUGUGGAGUUAGACAGAUAUGCCUAUGGGCAUCCAGUUGUGUGUGUGUGUGUGUAUGUGUAUAUGUGUGUGUGAGGGGGUGGGUGGGUGUAGGUGCACGCGCAUAGAGGAUUAUUAUUUUUUUUAAAAGCAGAUUCCUUAAAUGAGAUUUUUUUUUUACCCCUCACUUGAAACAGGUGUUAAUGAAAAAAUGCACACAAUCCUGACAGAUGGGACUGGUUCAUGAAGGAGGGGACGGCCAGCUCAGUGUUUCAGAGACCACAGGACCAGCUUCCCAUCCAGAGCAAAGUCUGGUAUCCUGGAUGUGGUCCUGCUGGCUACUGGCCAAACACAGGACAAGAUGUCCUGACACCCUCCUGAAGAAUAACAAGAAAGGAGUUUUUGAGAACAGAGACAUGGAAGUCAUGCCAAAGAGAGAGGAGCCAGAGCUCACUCAGGGGAGAAGCCAGAGCCAGAGCUGGAGGUGA
RNAcentral lists this long non-coding RNA (1061 nucleotides) under Phascolarctos cinereus (koala). RNAcentral's name for it is "lncRNA (ENSPCIG00000028685.2)". The record is from RNAcentral. Lineage: Eukaryota; Metazoa; Chordata; Mammalia; Diprotodontia; Phascolarctidae.